Molecule: ribosomal RNA, 254 nt
Filed under: uncultured bacterium
Lineage: Bacteria
Description: partial 16S ribosomal RNA
Rfam family: Bacterial small subunit ribosomal RNA
Source: RNAcentral
UACGGGGGGAGCAAGCGUUGUUCGGAUUUACUGGGCGUAAAGGGCGCGUAGGCGGUCAGCACAAGUCAGUUGUGAAAUCUCCGAGCUUAACUCGGAAAGGUCAACUGAUACUGUGCGACUAGAGUGCGGAAGGGGCAACUGGAAUUCUUGGUGUAGCGGUGAAAUGCGUAGAUAUCGAGAGGAACACCUGCGGCGAAGGCGGGUUGCUGGGCCGACACUGACGCUGAUGCGCGAAAGCCAGGGGAGCGAACGGG